AUUGAACGCUGGCGGCAUGCUUUACACAUGCAAGUCGAACGGUAACAGGCCGCAAGGUGCUGGCGAGUGGCGAACGGGUGAGUAAUGCAUCGGAACGUGCCCAGUCGUGGGGGAUAACUUCACGUAAGAGUAGCUAAUACCGCAUACGAUCUAUGGUUCAAAGCGGGGGACGGUGAGGCAUCGCGCGAUUGGAGCGGGCGAUGUCAGAUUAGGUAGUUGGUGGGGUACAGGUUCACCAAGGCGACGAAUUGUACCUGUUAGGAGAGGACGAGCAGCCACACUGGGACUGAGACACGGCCCAGACUCCUACGGGAGGCAGCAGUGGGGAAUUGUGGACAAGGGGCGCAAGCCAUAUCCAGCAAUGCCGCGUGCAGGAAGAAGGCCGUCGGGUUGGAAACUGCUGUUGUACGGAACGAAACGGCUCUGGUUAAUAACCGGGGCUAAUGACGGUACCGUAAGAAUAAGCACCGGCUAACUACGUG
Molecule: ribosomal RNA, 482 nt
Filed under: uncultured bacterium
Lineage: Bacteria
Description: partial 16S ribosomal RNA
Rfam family: Bacterial small subunit ribosomal RNA
Source: RNAcentral